GUACAUUUCAAGAUGCAUGUACUGAAGACAUUGCCUGCAAACUCUAUAGUGAAUAAACGCUUGUAAGUAGUCUUUUUCAGUAAGAUGUUUCCAUUUCUGUCUUUUGUUAAAUAGAAAGGAAAUUAAUAUCGCUGUGAAAUUCACCAGUCGCUUUCUUCGUCCUGCUGAAGCUUCAUUGCUAUUAAUUUCAAAACCCAAACAUGGAAUGGGAGGCGUUACAAUGACUUUUGCUCUAAAAGGCGAAGUCCUCAAUAUUAAAGCAAUUGAAAUUCUUAAAUGUGAAACUCCAUGUUAUCAAUGGAAGCAAGUCAUUGUGCCUUUGAAAAACCCUUUCCCAACUGGUGGAAACUUUAAGUAAGUUAUGGUUUUGGUUUAAUUGUGUUACAAUUAGCUAUUUCCAGUGUAAUGAAAAGUCUAUAUAUUACUUCAUCUCUUCAACAGGAACCGUUUUGAGAAGAAACUACAUGUGUUCACAUUCCUGGAAAUGUAUAAGUAUCAUCAGAUAAAAUAAGACACACAAUGGUAGUAAAUCAGUUUUUUAAAAUUUCUAGUUGAGCAUGUCAAAUUUAUGAGCUUGCAUUUCAGCUUUCUUUUUCUUGAGAUUCAAAGUUCUUGCAGUAUUUUAAAAUUUUUAAUUGAUUGUUUAUUUCUAAUUUAUUCUAUCAGUUAAUGUCCAGAACUAAAAUUUAGUUUCAACACAAAUAACUUUUUUUACAUGCAGCAUCAUGAUUAAUUAAUAUUGGUAUAUUCAGUAUGUGCGUAUCCAUUUUUAGAUUUAACAACAAAAGCAACAAAAAUUGGCAUCAAAAAGAGAAUGUUUAUAUUAUUUAAAGACAAUAAAGAUUUACUUCUUAAAAAUUUACACAUUGAGGGAGAUGGUAGA
RNAcentral lists this long non-coding RNA (883 nucleotides) under Chinchilla lanigera (long-tailed chinchilla). RNAcentral describes it as "lncRNA (ENSCLAG00000022260.1)". The record is from RNAcentral. Lineage: Eukaryota; Metazoa; Chordata; Mammalia; Rodentia; Chinchillidae.